UCUCUUGCUAGUGUACCCCAGUUCUUAAAAUCCACUUUGGGGCUAAGGGUCCCUUAGGUGACAAUGCUGAAUCUCCCUUCACCCAAUGCUGCUUUGCAACUCCGGAGAGAGGGUCCCUAUGGGUCCCACUUGAGCUCCCAAGGCCCUGACAACCUGUCCCUUUGCCUUGCUGCUGUGCCUCCCUGGAAGUGCCAGCCCUGUGAGAGGGCACCUCCCCCAGGUUCAGCUUCCACUGGCAUCGGACAAGGGCAGAGUUGUCUGUGGCCUGUGCCUGGUGGUAGAGCUUGAGAUCUCUUCUCCAGAAGCCAGGGCUCCAGGCCCAGAAAGCUGGGCUGGGUCAAGAGACCACAGGGAAGGGCACAGGAUAAAACCCACAGACAGAAAGCACCCUCCAGUGUCCACCAGGCCGAGCUUCAGGAGCCAUGCGGCCCUCGGUACAGGCUGGGCAUCCUUUGCUUGUUCCAUUUCCCACUGUGGCCAGUGGCCUCCUUUUGUGAGGACAUUCUUUUCAGGAGGGACUGACAGCCAUGGAGACAGGGAGCAGGACUGAGCAGGGUGGGGUCCCUAGAGGCAGCUCAGACAGCGGGUUCAGACAGUGGGGCGGUGGGGGCUCCAGUUCCACCAUCCAGGUGAGGAAACCCAGGCUGAAGAGAGAGCGGGUAGCAUCUCCAGUGCUAUUCAGCCAGGAACCGAUGGCAAAGCAUUUGCUGUUUACCCCUCUCAGGCUGCCCCGUGCUGUCCAGCCACUUGUCCCCCUUCUCGGGUUCUGAAGUCCUCCUGUUUUGUGCCUGUCACCCCCACUGGAGCAGGGACCUUGACUCCCCCACUGCCACACAGGCAUCACACCCAGUAGGCCUUCAAUCAAUAUUCAUGGAAUGGAUGAGAUGGGAUUCAAGCCCGAGGUGUGUCUGCAGAGGAUCGAAAGUGCAUCCCUGCUCUGCCCAGCAGAGCAGACCUGGGGACCCACAGGGGCAGUGGAUGCCUACUAUGGACGCCUACAGUGACCAUGUGGAAAGUACCUAAGGACUGUGGGGAAAACUGGUGGGACUGUCACUCACUAAGCUUAUUUGCUCGUCCAAUUUGGGGAUCCUGAACUCCUACUGGACAAGCCUGGUGGGUUCACAGCUGCCCCAGACGGUUUCCUCUGCAACCUCAAAUCAGACUCUGCUCCUUAGCUGCCAACACCCAUCACUAAAGAAGGGCAGGCAGAAAGCCUAGGGGCAUCAUGAUGACAGGGGAAAGGAAAAUGGUAGCGAUGGUGGCCACCUGGCGAGGGCACUGACUCUUCUUCCUGUCUGUUCCCUGCUUGCUUUGCCCUGACACCUCCUCCUUCCUCCCCGCCGAGAUCACUGCAGUCCUCUCUUCACCUUAACAAGCUUGCUGCUUUUCUGAGGCCCUGCUAAGGCUGUGACUCUGAUCCCUACUGUCCUUAGAUUUUAUUUCCCUGGUCCCCUCCCCCACCUCCUUUCUGUUUGUCCCAGCCCCACCCCCAACUCCCUCUCCCCACCUCUUCCCAAUCCCUUCAUCCUGAUUCCUUUUCUAGGUUUUCUCUGGUUAAAUUAUCUUUUUAUUUUAUUUUUUUUGAGAUGGAGCCUCACUCUGUCUCCCAGGCCGGAGUGCAGUGGUGUGAUAUCAGCUCACUGCAACCUCUGCCUUCCAGGAUCAAGCCAUUCCCUUGCCUCAGCUUCCCAAGUAGCUGGGACUACAGGCAUGCACCACCACGCCCGGCUAAUUUUUGUAUUUUUGAUAGAAACAGGGUUUACCAUGUUGGCCAAGCUGGUCUCAAACUCCUGACCUCAGGUGAUCUGCCCGCCUCAGCCUCCCAAAGUGUUGGGAUUACAGACAUGAGCCACCACGCCCGGCCAAUUAUCUUUUAUAUACUUGCUAAUAUCUGUCUCCUUUCCCCCCAGACCUUGUUUUGUGCAACAUGGAAUGAUGAAAAUGUAGAAACAGAAAAGUCAGUCCCGGCCAUAGCCAGGACUCAGGUUUUGUGAACGGGUGUAGGGCAGGAGGAAGAGCGAACAAGCCAAACCAACACUGGGCCUAAAGCCUGAGCUAAGGGUCCCUCCCUUUCCUAUAACCCAAGAAUUCUUCCUGAAAAUGGUAGCCCCUGAGAACCAUGUAAAAGCAUCAAGGGGUAGAUGGCAGGGUCCUGAGAGCUGGUCUGGCUGUCCCUUGUCCCCAUUUUUCUUGAAGAAACCGAGCUCCAGAAAAGAGGUGGGGCCCGUGGGGCAUUUGGAAUACACUCCAAGUCUAAUUCCCAGACCAGCCACCCUGUUCCCAGAGGCUCCCUUCAUCUGUCCGCUUGGCCAAGGAAGGAUUGGGCAGCCCCAUGCCCCCUGCCUGGCCACAGACGACAAACAUCAGAAGGCUGUCCAUGUAGCCAGGGCCCUGGAACCAUGUGGAAAGGACCUAAGGAGCUGGAUCCUUUUAGCCCCAGGAAAAGCACAAGGGACCCAGCACCCUUCCAAAAUUUAAACCAAAUUCUGGCCUGAGCCGUUUUGCACCGUCUGUGCCCUAGAAGGCUGUGAACGCCUUCCUGUUUCCCCAUCUUUUGAGGCCCAGGGCUUCCUCAGAGCCUCCGUGGGUCCCACCCUGGCACCCCAUCCGACGGUGUCUGGGUUCUGCCUGCCUGGCUCAUACCCUCACCCCCACCUUGCUGUCCUAGUAGUGUCACCCCAUCUUCCAUCCUCACUUUUCCUGGUGUUUCCUUUCUAGCCCCUGUCCCUAUUGGGAAUUUUCUGCACUUAUAGACCAGUUUCCCUCGCCCCACCCCACCCGGGGGGCCAGCGUGCCUGUCUUCUGUGUCCCAGCACACCGAAUGAUUGAUUAUUCGUUCGUAUAAGUGAAACAGGAAGGUCCCUGAGGUGCUGGGAUUGGGAGCCCUUCACCCCAGGUGAGGAAGGAGCCUUGAGGAAGGGGAGAGGACCUGAGUUAGUGGCCUCUCCCCAAUCCGGGGGUCAACCCCGGGCCAAGUGGGCCACUGCGCCUUGGGGCUCCUGUCGCCUGUGCCCUUGGUGGGUGGCCCACAGGGAACGUGGCCACACUCGGUCAGCUGUGGUCCUGGGGCAGCCGCAUCCGGGCGGGCGGCACUUAGGAAGGACAAACUCCAAAACCCAGGCCUCCAAAGGACCCAUGGGAAGGUCGGGUGUGACCUCGCGGCUGGGCCAGCGCUUUGAGGCCCCUGGGGACCCAGCAGAGGGCCCGGGUGAGGCCUCUGGAGGCGCUAAGCGGAGCAGGAAUGGGACCCAAAGAGGCCGCCCGUCCUUGCGCAGCAGGGUGUGGAAGGAGGUGGCCCCGGGCGCCCGCUGGGGUCAGGCUCUGCCUGGGAGUCCCUGUCUCUGCUUCCCAGGCCAGGCUGGGUCUCUUUGUCCGGGCUGGGCGGGGCCGACGGCCGUUGGAAACCACGUUCCACCCCCAUAACCCCCUCCGCGCCUGGCCCCGCCCCGUCUCCAUGGAGACCCAAAGCCGAGGCCACCGCCUGUCAGGGGCUGCCCUGGAGCCCGGUGCCUGCCUGGUGCGUCCUCUCUGCCCCCCAGGGGCCGUGCUGUCCAGGCUGGCCCCGAUAGGAGACACCAGGAUGCCUGUCCACGCCUCCACUCCUGGGCCAUUCCCCGUGGGGCAGGCAGGUGGGGAGGGCGGGGUGAGAAUCUGUUAUAAUCAGGGAAGGGAACUGCCCCUAGGCCCGGAGUUUGGAGCCUGGGAUACUGUCACCCACAGCCGGGGACCUGCCCUAGAACCUUCCUGCCGCAGGGCUCUCCUCCCGAGAGGCUGUGAAUGUUUCCCUGGGGUGGGGCCAGAGCCCAGAGGUUUGCCCCUGGGGCACUCGCCUCCCACAGGCUGCAGUGAAGGAGGCUGUCAGGAGGGGAUGGCUGGCUCUUCUCCUCCUGCGAGGAUAGGAGCCCCAGGGAAGGCAUUCCUGCUCUGGGGGCAGCCUUUCUCCUCCACAUCACAGCCAGUCAUUGAAGAGGAUUGGCCAAGCUGACCACUCUGUCUGUGAUCUCUGUCAGAGAGGCCCAAAGAACAUCCAGCCCCACCUGUGGUCCCUUCCCACCUCAGGCUAUAUCACAAUAUCACUCCCCAUCUAGUUUUUCAUUUCCACAGGAAACUCCAGUAAAACAAUUCCUCAGCCUCGACCCCAGGAAACAGCCCCCGCUAAACCAGCUGACGUGGGACCCCUUGGGUCAAUGGCGGCCAAGAGACACGCUGCGGACACCAGAGACCCUUGGCACCUGUGCCCCCUACAACCCUGGUCAUGGUGACCAUGGGAUUCCAGGCAGCACACAUCUCAGAAUCAGUAUUUCCCCAGCAAAAAAUAUGUAUAUGAUUAUCCCAUGGCCACCUCCCUGAUCCUGGCCUAUGGACAAGUGCAGACGAGGAAGGAUUCCAUCAUUUAAGCACAGUUCCUUCCUCCUGGGGGUCCCAACUGUUCUUCCCCAUCUAACAAAGUCCACCUUCCCUGUGGAACCCUAGACGGCUCCAAGGAAGCCAGCUGUUGACACUUAAUUUUUGGCUGCCCGAGGAGAGUCAGAAGUCAGGGCGGAAGGCCCCAUUCCUGCCCCAGAACUCUUCCUGAAGUUUUAAUGUCUGUAAGUAGAUGAUGGCUUAGGGUCCCAGGAUUUUUUGUGGCGACCGCCUCUUAGCAAAUCCUUUUUGUGUCUGGUUCUUUAGAAUGUGGGGCUACAGCUCUUAGCUUUGGCCCCUCAGCAAAGACGGCACAACAGGAAAAGUCUCACGUGACCCUGUUUCACUUUAUGGGAAAUCACAUCCCUAGGAAGGAAGGAAUAAAAUGAGAGUCAAUGGAUAAUUCCUUGACAUGAUUUCAUCGGAGUGGCGACCAUGUCUGCUUCUCAAUCUGCUGGAAUGGGUAGUACACACACGCCUUGAAAUAUUCCCUCCACAAAGGUCGAGUCUGAAUCUAAUCAGGCUCUGGGGCUAAACACAAGUUUGUAAGAAAUUUGGAGAAGGAAGGAGUGCGUUAAAGGACACCACAAUUCAAAAUGCGGGACAACUGACCUAAUUUUUGUAAAUGGUCAAUGGUAAGAAUUAAAAGAAAGAAUGGGGCUGGGCGCGGUGGCUCAAGUCUGUAAUCCCAGCACUUUGGGAGGCCGAGGCGGGUGGAUCACGAGGUCAAGAGAUCGAGACCAUCCUGGUCAACCUGGUGAAACCCCGUCUCUACUAAAAAUACAGAAAAUUAGCUGGGCACGGUGGCGCGUGCCUGUAAUCCCAGCCACUCAGGAGGCUGAGGCAGGAGAAUUGCCUGAACCCAGGAGGCGGAGGUUGCGGUGAGCCGAGAUCGCACCAUUGCACUCCAGCCUGGGUAACAAGAGUGAAACUCUGUCUCAAAAAAAGAAAAAAAAAAAAAGAAUGGGAGGAGGAGUAUCAGGUUAAAAGAGAUAAGACAUAGCGAUCACAAGCAAUGAGCGGACCAACUCUAGAGACACAUGUUUUGAGGUAAUUGCGGAAAUCUGAAUGUAGGAUAGGUGUUAAAUGACACUAAAGAAGUAUUGUUAAUCUUGUUAGAUGUUAAUGACAUUGAUGUCAUUAACAUGUUGGAAAUGUCCAUGUCCUACAUAUUGAACUGCGCAGGGAUAAGCUGCUGUGUUGUUGGAGAGAUGCCACUGAAGCUUUGAUAAUGGUAAUAAUAAAAGACACAGAUGAUACAAUGUGGCAAAAGCCUUUAAUUGUCGAAUCUGAGUGACGAGUGUACUGAGCUUCAUUACACUGUUUGCCCUACUUUUCUGUGUGUUUGUAAUUUAGCUAUAAUUUAAAAAGAAUUAUAAUCAUAUCUAAAGGAAUCUCUCCGUUUUUGAAAAAGUAAAUAUACAUGUCCAUUUUCUUUGCUAAAGCAGAGACAAACAUUGUCAAUGUCCUGCUCUUCUAUAUGCAAGGGUCGGAGGAGAAAAGAAAAGCCCGUGACUGUUGGAUUCUUAUUUGAACAAAGAAUAUGAAGCCUGGGCCAUAUAGCGAGACCCUAUCUCUAAAAAAAAAAAAAAUUAGCCUGGCAUGGUGGCACAUGCCUGUAGUUCCAGCUACUUGAGAGGUUGAGCUGGGGGGAUUGUUUGAGUGCAGAAGGUCGAGGCUGUAGUGAGCCAUGAUCGCACCACUGCACUCCAGCCUGGGCAGCAGAGUGAGACAGUACACCCCCUGGACCCCCAAAAAGGAGUAUGAGAGUCAUAUGCCAUUUAUAUUAACAUGGAAAACAAACAGUUCAGAAGAGGUCCAUAAUUUGCAAAAUGCAGACAGUAAUGACAAUACUUUUCUGCUAGAAACAGCAAGUAUUUAAAGGAAGGCGCUUACCCUAACACUUUCAUAUAUUAAGUGGAAUCUGGUUGGCAUGAUGAUUCCUUUCAUGAAAAACGACAUGGUUUCCGUCCACUGGCAUAAGAGUAGAAUGGAAGUGUAUCGCUAAAUAACAGUUUAGGGUCCACACUUGGAUUAUCGGAGUCCGUUUUGGGAAGUAAAGUUCAGAGGAAAGCAAUACUAACGGUGAGAGAGCCCAGCGUCAUAUGUGAUCAGGAGGAGAGGUGAGAGAGCCCAGCGUCAUAUGUGAUCAGGAGGAGAGGUGAGAGAGCCCAACGUCAUAUGUGAUCAGGAGGAGAGGUGAGAGAGCCCAACGUCAUAUGUGAUCAGGAGGACAGGUGAGAGAGCCCGAGAGAGCCCAGCAUCAUAUGUGACCAGGAGGAAAGGUGAGAGAGCCCAGCGUCAUAUGUGAUCAGGAGGAGAGGUGAGAGAGCCCAGCGUCAUAUGUGAUCAGGAGGAGAGGUGAGAGAGCCCAACGUCAUAUGUGACCAGGAGGAAAGGUGAGAGAGCCCAACGUCAUAUGUGAUCAGGAGGAGAGGUGAGACAGCCCAACGUCAUAUGUGAUCAGGAGGAGAGGUGAGAGAGCCCAAAGUCAUAUGUGAUCAGGAGGAGAGGUGAGAGAGCCCAACGUCAUAUGUGAUCAGGAGGAGAGGUGAGAGAGCCCAACGUCAUAUGUGACCAGGAGGAAAGGUGAGAGAGCCCAAAGUCAUAUGUCAUCAGGAGGAACAGUCUCAAAGGCGUUAGAAAUCAUUAGCGUGGAGAAAAUAAAUCUCAGUGGCAGUAACAUAGCACACUGCAGGAGUGUGACAUACAAAAUACCAAAGAGACUGGAGAACACUACCUUAGUGGAAAUUAUAGGAAGGCUGAAUUCGGCUUUGUAUGAAUGUUAGGAAAGACAGUUGCCGAUAGGCCUUCAGCUUCCCAGAGCGUUUUUCCUGGGCAUACCAAGAAUGCAAACCUUUGACCUCUUUUUAAUACACCCAUUUUUCAAGAUUGUGUUUGCGGCAAGCAACCUGAAGGGAUAAGUUAAGGGCCAACUUUGGAAAAAGAGCCACGUUACUUUCUGCUUGUUAUAAAAGCAGUGGAUUCGCUAGACGCAGUAUUCCUAACCUGGAACCCAGAUCCGCUGUAUGCACAAGAUACACCUGGACCCCUCUGUGGUGCCCCACGGGACUUGGACAAGGAGAACUAACUCAAAUAUGAUGCUCACGCUGCUUGCUAAGCAUGAAUAAUGAAGUCUUUUGUCUCCUGUCUCCUGCCGACAUUUAUGAAACAGUGAUAGGCUAGUUUAUCAUCUUGUAAGUAUGGUGAGAUCGAUACAUCUCAUACCCAACAAUGGAGAACACAUCAGUUGGUAGAUUUCCUACCCAGAAUUGUUCACACAUGGACGCGUAAACUUCUUGGAGAAGAUAAUGCAUAAAUGUAGCCCCACCCCAAAAAGUUUCAGACAAGCAGUUUUUCUUGGACUUUCAGUGUCAUUUCAGUUCCGUAAAUUGUAGUAUUUUUUUUUUUUUUUUUAGGAAACACAAAUAGAAUUGGGCUUAUUUACAGAAUACCAGGACUCUUGGAGUAACCCCAUGAGAAGGAUAUUUCUGUACUUCUCUAAAAAUCCUGGGAAGUCUCUACAUGAAUAUGGCCUCAAUAUUCAUUUAAAUGACCAAAAUUCCAUCCCCUGUCUCCAUAUAUUUCCAUUCUAGUAAACCUUUAGUUGCUUUCAGAUAAAGGGAAAUCCAAGAUUGUUAUGCCAAAGAUGUAAUUCUCUUUAGACGUCCUGCCAGGGUUCUUAGUAUCCAGGGGAGUCAGAUGACCACAUCCAAGGCAUGUACUACAGCGUGGCGCAGUCUUGUUGGUCAUCUGGCUAAGGCAGUGUUUGCCAGAUUUUUCCACUGUCUAGUCUCUGCCCUGACAGCCCUCUUUCUGCCCUACUAGAAGUUAAGUAUCUCUGACUGAUCGUAUUGGAAAUUCAUGAUUUUUAUUAUAUUAAUGAGAAGUUAGUAUAUACAGUGGUGGUAAGCACACACGGUAUUUUUUUCCCGUUGCCAAAGCCUCUGGUAAUAUUUAUCAGAAUGGUUUGGAAAUGCGUAUUAGAGUCUAGUCUAGAAUUUCGAACGAGCGGUGUAAUUCAGCUUGGGAUUAUACACGAUGCAUGUGAUCAAGCAAAGAAUGCGAAGGAAACCUUCGCACGAGCCUGGUCAUAACCCCUUCCGUCUUCCCUCGUCCUCUUCCUCUGCAAAUGCAGGCGUGUCCACUGGGUGGCAGUAUGUACUCAAGAAUAUUGACUGUUUCUCGUGGCCUCAAUCUAAUGGAAUUUAAGCAUGCCAAACUUUUUAUCUGGAACACAGCCACGGUAGUGAAUCUUAAGAAACAGUAUCGUCUGAAUGUAAGCUCCUCCCUAGAAGAUGAUUAUGGCGGUUAUAAAAAGGUUAAUAUUGAGUACUUCCUACCAUUUACUCUCAGUCAUAUUCUUUGUUCUGCCAACAGUACUCAGUAUGAAAAUUGAUAAACACCUAUUAUCCUACCUUUUAUUUCUAUAACCUAUCUCUUAGCUCUGAGGAACUCACCUGGCAAUAGACUUUUCCUCUUCUCCAUUUUGUUUCUUAAAUAUCAUACCCGUUCCACAGCGAAAUUAAGAGAUAGACCAUAUGCACCCCUUUAGUUCUGCACUACGUCCUGGACAAUAGAGCAGAUUCUGGGCACUCACGGUCUUGUGAAGUCAUAUGUUCUCUUUCACUUAAAUUAAUUCUGUCUGAAAGACAGAAUGACACCAAUUAACUUGUUCUCUGUAAGAUUUGUCUUCAAUUAGGAGAGGGAAAACCUUCCAAGAAGUUAAAUUGUGUAAUCAGGUAGGAUUAAAACUAUGAGAAAAACUCACAAAAAUAUACAUAUUUUAAAAACUGAAAAUAAAAUACUAAUGUAGUUGUGUUAGAUGGUAGAAUUAUGAAAGCUUUUCUUUCCUUUUUCUACUUUCGUGUAGUUUCUCCUAUACUUUCUUUAAGGAACUACACCUUUUUUCAAAUAAAAAAUAUAUAACUGCGGUUAAACCAUCGUUUGUCUUUCUCCUGCCUCGAAGGAUUCAUGUUUUUAAAAUAUCCUUUCUAAUCUUUUUCUAUCUAAUUUUCCAAAAGAUAUUUAAUAAUAGUUUGACAUUUCCUUGCAUCUCCACAUGGCUCUGCUUUCUGCUGAGUGUGUUGGGUGAUUUGACUUAUUUUUAAAAAUAAACUUUUUACAGAGAGUUGCACAGAUAGUGCAGAGUUCCCAUACGCAAAACACUCAGUUUCAUUUCUUAGAAACAUCUUACAUUCGUUUGGAACAUUUGUUGCAAUUAAUGACCCAAUAUUGAUACAUUAUUUUUGACUAACGUCCAUACUUUAUUCAGAUUUCCUCUGUUUUCACCUAAUGUUCUUUUUCUGUUCUAGGGUCUCAUCCAGGAUAACUUGUUACAUUAUCUGUGGUAUCUCCUUAGGUUCUUCUUCAGACUUUACUUUUCAUGCCCUCUGCAGCUUUGAGGAGCAUUGUAUUAACAGAAUUUCCCUCCGUUGGGAUUUGCCUGAUGCUUCUCUCAUGAUUAGAAUGAGGAUCUGGAUUCGGGGAAGGAAGACGGCAGAGAUAAGUAAACUGAAACCCCAAUAUAAACUCAAGAACGUUAGAGCUGGCCGUGACCUGAGAGAGUUCGGUGAUCUCCUGGGACUCACUCCACAGUUAACGUGGAACUGGAUGCCAGCGGUCUUCACGUUCAGAUGAGAGCUUUUUUCACCACAGAACUUUGCUUUACUGAAUAAUGCAUUUACAUGUUCCACUCAUCCAUGUAUUCUGCAAAAACAAUUUUAAUAGCUCCUUCAUGCCUGACACCGUGCUCAAGUUUGUAAGUACAAAUUUUGAGUUUGCACCGCUGUAAAGAAUUGAAUAAAAAAAUUAGGCAAAUGGCCACCAGGUGGCGUCAAUCCUCAGCCUGGCAAGGACGUUUGUAGGUAAUUGGUAGUAACUAUUCCGUUUUGUUUUUCCUCUUUUUUUCCAACUCGAAUGGUGAGAACUGAUCUGAAUGUACAAUUCAGGCUUAUCAUUUUCCAUCAAGAUGUCACCAAUCUUCCAGUCUCCCAGGCAGAAGUCUUUGGGUUAUGUUUUGGUGAGUCACCCCUUAUUCAGACUGGCUACUUUCCUCCUCUUUAGCCCCUUUAUAAAAACCUUCAAUUUAGCAGUGACAGGGGGAAAAAAAACCCUUGGGAUGGUCUUAGCCUACUGCAAGUUUACUGCUGCUUCUGAGCCUUUGCUCCUGCUGUUCCAUUUCCCUGAAAUUCCUUCGAAACUCUUUCAUCGUUGACUCACCGAUGUUCAUUUGAGUGGCUGUGGCGAUGCUGAUAUAUGAAAUACCAAACGACAUACUCUCCUCCCAUGCCAAGGUCUGCCAUGUCCCUCCCUCCCCUUCUGACAGUGGGGAAGUUCUACCAGGUUAAAUGGGUAUAUGAUCAAAUGAUUGCUUUAUUAGGGGUAUUUACCGGGCAUCGUGGUGACUGAAGUAUCAGCCUUGCAGAGGUGAUCAAGAAAUAAAUGGGUUUUUGGUUUAGGUCUAAAGGUAAGUCAACUAGUUUCAAUGGAUACAGGGUCAAAUAUUGUCCUACGCAGUGACAUAAAAUGGCUUGGCACUUCAAGUCUGACCAUUUAGACUUUGAAACUGUAGAUAGGAAGAAGGUAUGAUGCAUAUAGGCAAGCAGCCAAGAUGAUUUUCAAAAGAAAGGCUGGAACCAGAUUAAAAGGGCCCUUGAAUGACUUGCAAAGAAAUUAGGACUUUAUUUUUUAGGCAUUAAGAACCAUUACAAGACACAGAAAGGGGAUGACAUAAACAGAUUUGCAUUUUUGAUCCUCUCUGGUGUAUGUGGCAUGUACUGGACAGAGGUGAGACCAGACACGUCCAACCAGUUGGGAAAUAACCAUAGAGUCUGGGUGGGUGCGGCUGUUAAGACCUGAACCAAGUGAAGUCUGUGCGGAAGGAGAGGCAGGAUGGAUCCGAGACAGUCAACAAUUUGGUGAGGAGUCAAACAUGGGAGUGAGCAGAAGGUGCUUUGUGACUGCCAAGUCCCUGGCUUAGGUCACUCAGUGAGGAGUGACGCCUUUAAUUAUACAGGAGGCUGAGUAGCUUUUAGGGGGCGGUUGUGGUCGUGGUGGUGGUGAAUGUUUUGAGUUUACUUUGAGAUGACUGAUGAUUAUUUGCCCUAAUCAACUUCAUACAUUAACAUGUAGGUUAGAAUGAAAGGUCUCAGUAAAGAAAAUUUUCUUACUACCAUUCGUCCAUCAGUCAAUACGUGAGCCAAAAGCGCCUCCUUCAUUUUGUUGUUAUACUUUAAGUUCCGGGGUAUAUGUGCAGAUCAUGCAAGUUUGUUACAUUAGGUAUACAUGUGCCGUGGUGACUUGCCUCAUCCAUCCCCCUGCCAUCUACAUUAGGUAUUUCUCCUAAUGUAAUCCUUCCCCAAUCCCUGCACCCCCUGCUAACCCUCCCCAAGCCCCCCAUCCCUGACGGACCCCAGUGUGUGAUGUUCCCCUCCCUAUGUCCAUGUGUUCUCAUUGUUCAACACCCACUUAUGAGUGAGAACAUGCUGUGUUUGGUUUUCUGUUCUUGUGUCAGUUUGCUGAGAAUGAUGGUUUCCAGCUUCAUCCAUAUCCCUGCAAAAGACAUGAACCCAUCUUUUUUAUGGCUGCAUAGUAUUCCAUGGUGUAUAUGUGCCACAUUUUCUUUAUCCAAUCUAUCAUUGAUGGGCAUUUGGGUUGGUUCCAAGUCUUUGCUAUUGUAAACAGUGCUGCAAUAAAUAUACAUACACAUGUGUCUUUAUAACUGAAUGCUUUAUAAUCCUUUGGGUAUAUACCCAGUAAUGGGAUUCUGUGUCAAAUGGUAUUGCUAGUUUUAGAUCCUUAAGGAAUUGUCACACUGUCUUCCACAAUGUUUGAGCUAAUUUACAUUCCCACCAACAGUGUAAAAGCAUUCGUAUUUCUCCACAUCCUCUCCAGUAUCUGUUGUCUCCCGAUUUUUUAAUAAUGGCUCUUCCAACUGGUGUGAGAUGGUAUCUCAAUGUGGUUUUGAUUUGCAUUUCUCUAACAACGAGUGAUAAUGAGCUUUUUUCCCUAUGUUUGUUGGCUGCAUAAAUGUCUUUUUUUGAGAAGUGUCUGUUCAUAUCUUUCACCCUCUUUUUAAUGGGGUUUUUGGUUUUCUUGUAAAUUUGUUUAAGUUUCUUGUAGAUUCUGGUUAUUAGCCCUUUGUCAGACAGGUAGAUUGCAAGAAUUUUUUCACAUUCUGUUGGUUGCCAGUUCACUCUAAUGAUAGUGUAGUUUGCUGUGCAGAGGGUCUGAAGUUUAAUUAGAUCCCAUUUGUCUGUUUUGGCUUUUGUUGCCAAUGCUUUUGGUGUUUUAGUCAUUAAGUCCUUGCCUAUGCCUAUGUCCUAAAGGGUAUUGCCUAGAUUUUCUUCUAGGGUUUUUAUGAUGUUGGGUCUUAUGUUUAAAUCUUUAAUCCAUCUGGAGUUAAUUUUUGUAUAAGGUGUGAGGAAGGGAUCCAGUUUCAGCUUUCUGUGCAUGGCUAGCCAGUUUUCCCAACACCAUUUAUUAAAUAGGGAAUACCUUCCCCAUUGCUUGUUUUUGUCAGGUUUGUCAAAGAUUAGAUGGUAGUAGAUAUGUGGUGUUACUUCCAAGGACUCUGUUCUGUUCCAUUGGUACAUCUCUGUUUUGGUACCUGUACCAUGCUGUUUUGAUUACUGUAGCCUUGUAGUAUAGUUUGAAGUCAGAUAGCAUGAUGCCUCCAGCUUUGUUCUUUUUGCUUAGGAUUGUCUUUGCUAUGUGGGCUCUCUUUUGGCUCCAUAUGAAGUUUGAGGUGGUUUUUUUCCAAUUCUGUGAGGAAAGUCAAUGGUGGCUUGAUGGGGAUAGCAUGGAAUCUAUAAAUUACUUUGGACAGUAUGGCCAUUUUCACAAUACUGAUUCUUCCUAACCAUGAACAUGGAAUGUUUCUCCAUCUGUUUGUGUUCUUUCUUAUUUCCCUGAGCAGUGGUUUGUAGUUCUCCUUGAAGAGGUUCCUUCACGUCCCUUGUUAAUUGUAUUCCUAGGCAUUUUAUUCUCUGUGUAGCAAUUGUGAAAGGGAGUUCACUCAUGAUUUGGAUCUCUGUUUGUCUGUUAUUGGUGUAUAGGAAUGCUUGUGAUUUUUGCAUAUUGAUUAUUUAUCCUGAGACUUUGCUGAAGUUGCUUAUCAGCUUAAGGAGCUUUUGGGCUGAGACGAUGGAGUCUUCUAAAUAUACCAUCAUGUUGUGUGCAAAUAGAGACAAUUUGAAUUCCUCUUUUCCUAACUGAAUAUCCUUUAUUUCUUUUUCUUGCCUGAUUGCCCUAACUAGAAGUUCCAAUACUAUGUUGAAUAGAAGUGGUGAGAGACGGUAUCCUUGUCUUGUGCCAGUUUUCAAAGGGAAUGCUUCCAGUUUUUGCCCAUUCAGUAUGAUAUUGUCUGUGGAUUUCUUGUAAAUAGCUUUUAUUAUUUUAAGAUACAUUCUAUCAAAACCUAGUUUAUUGAGAGUUUUUAGCACAAAGGGCUUAAAAUUGAAUUUUGUCAAAGGACUUCUCUGCAUCUAUUGAGAUAAUCACGUGGUUUUUGUCUUUGGUUCAGUUUAUGUGAUGAAUUAUGUUUAUAGAUUUGCAUAUUUUGAACCAGCCUUGCAUCCCAGGGAUGAAGCUGACUUGAUUGUGGUAAAUAGGCUUUUUAAUAUGCUUUUGGAUUUGGUUUGCCAGUAUUUUAUUGAAGAUUUUCACAUCAAUGUUCAUCAUGAAUAUUGGCCUGAAAUUUUCUUUUUUAGUUGUGUCUCUGUCAGGUUUUGGUAUCGGGAUGAUGUUUGUCUCGUAAAAUGAGUUAGGGAGGUUCCCGUCUUUUUGUAUUGCAUGGAAUAGUUUCAGAAGGAUGGUACCAGCUCCUCUUUGUACCUCUGGUAGAAUUCGGCUGUGAACCCGUCUGGUCCUGGACUUGCUUUGGUUCGUAGCUAUCAACUGCUGCCUCAACUUCGGGCCUUGUUAUUGGUUCAUUCAGGGAUUCAACUUCUUUCUGCCUUAGUCUUGGGAGGGUGUAAGCGCCCAGGAAUUUACCCACUUCUUCAUUUACUGGUUUAUGUGCAUAGAGGCGUGUGUAAUAAUCUCUGAUGGUAGUCUGUAUUUCUGUGGAACCAGUGAUAUCCCCGUUACCAUUUUUUAAUGCAUCUAUUCAAUUCUUCUCUCUCUUCUUUUUUAUUAAUCUGGCUAGCAGUCUAUCUAUUUUGUUGAUCUUUUAAAAAAAACCGGCUCCUGGAUUUAUUGAUUUUUUGAAGGGCUUUUUAUGUCUCCAUCUCCUUCAGUUCUGCUCUGAUCUUAGUUAUUUCUUGUCUUCUGCCAGCCUUCGAGUUUGUUUGAUCUUGAUCCUCUAGUUCUUUUAAUCAUGAUGUUAGGGUGUCAAUUUUAGAUCUUUCCUCACUUCUCAUGUGGGCAUUCAGUGCUAUACAUUUCCCUCUAGACACUGCUCUAAAUGUGUCCCAGAGAUUCUGGUAGAUUGUGUCUUCAUUCUCAUUGGUUUCAAAGAACAUCUUUAUUUCUGCCUUCAUUUAAUUAUUAUCCAGUUGUCAUUCAAGAGCCAUUUGUUCAGUUUCCAUGAAGUUGUGUGGUUCUAAGUUAGUUUCUUAAUCCUGAGUUCUAAUUUGAUUACACUAUGGUCUGAGAGACUGUUUGUUAUAAUAUUUGUUCUUUUGCAUUUGCUGAGGAGUGAUUUACUUCCAGUUAUGUGGUCAGUUUUAGAGUGGGUGUGAUGUGGUGCUGAGGAGAAUGUAUAUUCUGUGGAUUUGGGGUGGAGAGUUCUGUAAAUGUCUAUCAGGUUUGCUUGGUCCAGAUCUGAGUUCGAGUCCUGGAUAUCUUUGUUAAUUUUCUGUCUCAUUGAUCUCUCUAAUAUUGACAGUGGAGUGUUAAAGUCUCCCACUAUUGUGUGGGACUCUAAGUCUCUUUGCAGGUCAUUAAGAACUUGCCUUAUGUAUCUGGUGCUCCUGUAUUGGGUCCGUAUAUAUUUAGGAUCAUUAGCACUUCUUGUUGCAUUGAUCCCUUUACCAUUAUGUAAUGCCCUUCUUUGUCUCUUUUGAUCUUUGUUGGUUUAAAGUCUGUUUAUCAGAGAUGGGAAUUGCAACCCCUGCUUUCUUUUGCUCUCCAUUUGCUUGUUAAAUAUCCCUCCAUCCUUUUAUUUUGAGAUUAUGUGUGUCUUUGCAAGUGAGAAGGGUCUCCUGAAUACAGCACACCAAUGGGUCUUGACUCUUUAUCCAAUUUGCCAGUCUGUGUCUUUUAUUUGGGGCAUUUAGCCCAUUUACAUUUAAGGUUAAUACUGUUAUGUGUGAAUGUGAUCCUCCCAUUUUGAUGCUAGCUGGCUGUUUUGUCCAUUAAUUGAUGCAGUUUCUUCAUAGUGUCAGUGGUUUUUACAAUUCGAUAUGCUUCUGCGGUGGCUGGUACUAGUUAUUCCUUUCCAUGUUUAGUGCUUCCUUCAGGAGCUCUUGUAAGGCAGGCCGGGUGGUGAUGAAAUCUCUCAGCAGCUGCUUAUCUGUAAAGGAUUUUAUUUCCCCUUCACUUAUGAAGCUUCGUUUAACUGGAUAUGAAAUUCUAGUUUGAAAAUUCUUUUCUUUAAGGAUGUUGAAUAUUGGUCCCCACUCUCUUCUGGCUUGUAGAGUUUCUGCCGAGAGAUCUGCUGUGAGUCUGAUGGGCUUCCCUUUGUGGGUGACCCGACCUUUCUCUCUGGCUGCCUUUAGCCUUGUUUCCCUCAUUUCAAACCCGGUGAAUCUGACAAUUUUGUGCCUUGGGGUUGCUCUUUUUGAGAAAUAUCUUUGCGGUGUUCUCUGUGUUUCCUGAAUUCCUGAAGAGUGAUUUUCAACUUGGUUUCGUUCUCCCCAUCACAUUCAGGUACACGGAUCAAACACAGAUUUGGUCUUUUCAAAUAAUCCCAUAUUCCUUGGAGGCUUUGUUCAUUUCUUUUCCCUCUUUUCCCUCUAAUCUUGGCUUCCAGCUUUAUUUCACUGAGUUGAUCUUCGGUGUCUAAUAUCCUUUCUUGCACUUUACCGAUUUGGCUAUUGAAACUUGUGGAUGCUUCACAAAGUUCUCAUGACGUGUUUUUCAGCUCCAUCGAGUCGUUUAUGUUCUUCUCUACGCUGGUCAUUCAAGUUAGCGUUUUGUCCAACCUUUUUUCAAGAUUCUCAGUUUCCUUGCAUUGGGUUAGAACAUGCUCCUUUAGCUCAGAGAAGUUUGUUAUUACCCACCUUCUGAAGCCUGCUUCCGUCAAUUCAUCAAACUCAUUCUCUACCCAGUUUUGUUCCCUUGAUGGUGAGGAGUUGUGAUUCCUUGGAGGAGGAGAGAUGUUCUGGUUUUUGGCAAUUUCAGCCUUUCUGCGCUGGUUUCUUCCCAUCUUCAUAGAUUUAACUUUGAAGUUGUUGACUUUUGGAUGGGGUCUCUGAGUGGACGUCCUUCCUGUGGAUGUUGAAGCUAUUUCUUUCUGUUUUUUAGUUUUCCUUGAAAGAGGCCGCACUGCUGCAGGUCUGCUGGAGGUCCACCCCAGACCCUGCUUGCCUGGGAAUCACCCACAGGGGCUGAACAACAAAGAUUGCUGCCUCUUACUUUCUCUGGUAGCUUCACCCAGAAGGGUACCUGCCAGAUGUCAGCCAGAGCUCUCCUGUAUGCGUGACUCCCAGUCAGGAUAAACUCGAACAGGCAGUCAGUCCCUUAUCAGAGCUCGAGUGCUGUGCUGGGAGCUCCAUUGGUCCCUUCAGAGCUGCUGGGCAGGGAUGUUUAAGUCUGCUGAAGCGGGACACAUACUGCCCCUUUUCCCAGGUGCUCUGUCCUGGGAAGGUGGAGGCUUUAUUUAUAAGUCCCUGACAGGCUGCUGCCUUUUUGCAGAGCUGCCCUGCCCAGCUAGAAGGGAGUCUGGUCACAAUCUGCCUGCAGAGUCUUUGCUGAGCUGCCGUGGGCUCCACCUAGUUGCUGUGCAAACUUCCUGGACUUUGUUUACACAGGCCAGUUUAGAACCACCUACCCGAGCCUCAGUAAUGGCAGACGCCCUUUCUCCCACUGGCUUGAACACCCUCCGUUGAGCUCAGACUGUGCUAGAUGUGCAACAGCUCCCCCAAACAGAGCUAUAGCUAACAGGGUACCUCCCAAGUGCUCAGGACAGGCCCGAGCAAGAUUCUGUGGAUUGUGGUGGAAUUACAUUAACACAGCAUCAUCCCCCUUUUCCAGAGGAAGAGACCGAGGGCCAGCCCUGACAAGAGUGUUCCUGGAAGCCGAGCUCUUCUCUAUAGAGGACAGAGCAGGCAGCAGAGACCAUGAGGCCCCCCCUCAGCACCUUCCCACAGAUGGCGCAUCCCCUGGCAGAGGCUCCUGC
This is a non-coding RNA of Callithrix jacchus (white-tufted-ear marmoset), 17689 nucleotides long. NCBI's taxonomy places the organism in Eukaryota, Metazoa, Chordata, Mammalia, Primates, Cebidae. The record is from RefSeq and is a predicted model, not a curated record.